Molecule: ribosomal RNA, 253 nt
Filed under: uncultured bacterium
Lineage: Bacteria
Description: partial 16S ribosomal RNA
Rfam family: Bacterial small subunit ribosomal RNA
Source: RNAcentral
UACGUAGGGGGCAAGCGUUGUCCGGAAUCAUUGGGCGUAAAGCGCGUGUAGGCGGCCCGGUAAGUCCGCUGUGAAAGUCCAGGGCUCAACCCUGGAAUGCCGGUGGAUACUGUCGGGCUCGAGUCCGGAAGAGGAGAGUGGAAUUCCUGGUGUAGCGGUGAAAUGCGCAGAUAUCGGGAGGAACACCAAUGGCGAAGGCAGCUCGCUGGGACGGUACUGACGCUGAGGCGCGAAAGCCAGGGGAGCAAACGGG